UGCCAGCCGCCGCGGUAAUAUGGAGGGUGCAAGCGUUAAUCGGAAUUACUGGGCGUAAUGCGCGCGUAGGCGGUUUGGUAAGUGUGAUGUGAAAGCCCAGGGUUUAACCUUGGAACUGCAUUUCAUAUUGUUAGGUUAGAGUAUGGUAGAGGGGGGUAGAAUUCCACGUGUAGCGGUGAAAUGCGUAGAGAUGUGGAGGAAUACCAGUGGCGAAGGCGGCCCCCUGGAUCGAUACUGACGCUGAGGUGCGAAAGCGUAGGGAGCAAACAGGAUUAGAUA
RNAcentral lists this ribosomal RNA (279 nucleotides) under uncultured bacterium. RNAcentral describes it as "partial 16S ribosomal RNA". It matches the Rfam family "Bacterial small subunit ribosomal RNA", at positions 506 to 784 of the family's 1533-position model. The record is from RNAcentral.